RNAcentral lists this ribosomal RNA (492 nucleotides) under uncultured bacterium. RNAcentral's name for it is "partial 16S ribosomal RNA". It matches the Rfam family "Bacterial small subunit ribosomal RNA", at positions 29 to 507 of the family's 1533-position model. The record is from RNAcentral.
AGUGAACGCUGGCGGUAGGCCUAACACAUGCAAGUCGAACGGCAGCACAGUAAGAGCUUGCUCUUACGGGUGGCGAGUGGCGGACGGGUGUGGAAUACAUCGGAAUCUACUUUUUCGUGGGGGAUAACGUAGGGAAGCUUACGCUAAUACCGCAUACGACCUACGGGUGAAAGCAGGGGAUCUUCGGACCUUGCGCGAUUGAAUGAGCCGAUGUCGGAUUAGCUAGUUGGCGGGGUAAAGGCCCACCAAGGCGACGAUCCGUAGCUGGUCUGAGAGGAUGAUCAGCCACACUGGAACUGAGACACGGUCCAGACUCCUACGGGAGGCAGCAGUGGGGAAUAUUGGACAAUGGGCGCAAGCCUGAUCCAGCCAUACCGCGUGGGUGAAGAAGGCCUUCGGGUUGUAAAGCCCUUUUGUUGGGAAAGAAAAGCAGCAGGUUAAUACCCCGCUGUUCUGACGGUACCCAAAGAAUAAGCACCGGCUAACUUCGUG